RNAcentral lists this ribosomal RNA (526 nucleotides) under Sibogasyrinx clausura. RNAcentral describes it as "partial large subunit ribosomal RNA". It matches the Rfam family "Bacterial large subunit ribosomal RNA", at positions 1809 to 2603 of the family's 2925-position model. The record is from RNAcentral. Lineage: Eukaryota; Metazoa; Mollusca; Gastropoda; Neogastropoda; Turridae.
CAAAACAUGGCUUCUUGUAAUAAUUUAAAUAAGGAGUCGGACCUGCCCAGUGAAUUUUUUUAACGGCCGCGGUACUCUGACCGUGCAAAGGUAGCAUAAUCAUUUGCCUUAUAAUUGAAGGCUAGUAUGAAUGGUUUGAUAAGAAUAUAGCUGUCUCUUUACAGCUUACUAGAAUUUUAUCUUUAGGUGAAGAAGCCUAAAUAAAAUUAAAAGACAAGAAGACCCUAUCGAGCUUUAAAGAAAUUAAGGGAGGCAAUAAAUUAAUAGUAAAAUAAAAAAUUAACUCUUAAAUAUUUUGGUUGGGGCGACUGUGGAACAAGAAAAGCUUCCUUUAAAAAUAAAAACAGACAUGUUUUGAUCCAGAUUUUCUGAUUAAAGGAAUUAGUUACCGUAGGGAUAACAGCAUUAUCUUUUUCAAGAGUUCUUAUCGAAAAAAAGGUUUGUGACCUCGAUGUUGGACCAGAAUAUCCUAAAGGUGCAGAAGCCUUUAAGGGUUGGUCUGUUCGACCAUUAAAAUUCUACGUGA